AUUGAACGCUGGCGGCAUGCCUUACACAUGCAAGUCGAACGGCAGCAUGGAGAGCUUGCUCUCUGAUGGCGAGUGGCGAACGGGUGAGUAAUGCAUCAGAACGUACCGUGUAAUGGGGGAUAACGUAGCGAAAGUUACGCUAAUACAGCAUACGACCUGAGGGUGAAAGCAGGGGAUCGCAAGACCUUGCGUUAUACGAGGUGCCGAUGUCAGAUUAGCUAGUUGGUGAGGUAAAGGCUCACCAAGGCGACGAUCUGUAGCGGGUCUGAGAGGAUGAUCCGCCACACUGGGACUGAGACACGGCCCAGACUCCUACGGGAGGCAGCAGUGGGGAAUUUUGGACAAUGGGGGCAACCCUGAUCCAGCCAUGCCGCGUGAGUGAAGAAGGCCUUCGGGUUGUAAAGCUCUUUCGGCCGGAAAGAAAUGGCUCUGGUUAAUACCUGGGGUCGAUGACGGUACCGGAAGAAUAAGGACCGGCUAACUACGUGCCAGCAGCCGCGGUAA
Molecule: ribosomal RNA, 504 nt
Filed under: uncultured bacterium
Lineage: Bacteria
Description: partial 16S ribosomal RNA
Rfam family: Bacterial small subunit ribosomal RNA
Source: RNAcentral